UGAUACACCUUCGCUCACUCUUCAUCCUUUUCCAACCGUAAACCCUCCGUCUCCACCCUCGCCGUUCACCCUUUCUCCAUCGUCACUCUUCACUUCCGCCAUCCACCGCACAAACCACCGCCACUAUCAUGACCCCUCCACCCCAGCUCCAACCGUCGACGCGAAACCCUUCUUACUGAGCUUCAUCGAUGAAGUCAAGGCAACAACAACAUCAGAAACAUCGCUCCGUUUCAUGAUGUUGACCACACGAGGCAGCCAUAACUUCGAAUCGUUCGGUUGAAGGCCG
This 286-nucleotide long non-coding RNA is filed under the name Lathyrus oleraceus (garden pea). RNAcentral's name for it is "Pisum sativum (pea) long non-coding RNA (PSAT_LNC024850)". Lineage: Eukaryota; Viridiplantae; Streptophyta; Magnoliopsida; Fabales; Fabaceae. The record is from RNAcentral.